GCGUGGAGUUGCGUAACAACUGGGUGAUGUAUCCACAGCCCAGCUAAGGUUUUAGGUCGUAGUAGUUAUAGUAGCUAGUUACACCAAAAUUAUUAGGUAUAAACAGAUCCACAUCAUUUCGCAUUCUCCCCCCAAAAUUAUAUGUAUGUCUACAUAUAAAGCAUAUUAACAUUAGUCUCAACAUGAGGAAAAGUGAAAACUCCGUUUUAUCAAUUAUACUUAUUGCUAUUGUGGUUUGGAAAUCGGAGGCAUAUGAAAAGGACAGCUUGAAUAAUGAAUGUGUCAAAUGUGAUAAUGGAGAUUGUAAAAUAUUCUUUAAUGGUUGGAUGUACUUAAGAGAUUAUCCAAAAGAUAAGACAUUAGUUGAACGAGUUCCCAAAAACGCAGACAUUUAUGAUCCAUUGGCUGCAUGCAUAUUGCCUGGUUUUCGAAUAACGGGUAAUUUGGAACAAUUUCUGUGUUUUUCGUCGCCAAUAAUGGGAUGCCAGCCAGUCGCAAAUAAAACAUUUAUUAUGCAAAACAAUUCUGAAAAUAUAUGUUCGACGUGUCUUGAGUACUGCGGUUGUAAUUAUCCUAGUCGAUCCUUAUCCAUCGUAUGCAGCCAUGUUGCACUAUUAUCUACGUGCUUUAUUGUGAUUUUGUUAGGUAUGUAACAAGAAGAAUGUUUCAAUAGAUCUGUAAUUCAAAAAUGAAUAAAAACUUUUAAAAGUAGUUGAAUCAAGUAAAUUUAAA
This is a long non-coding RNA of Drosophila montana, 732 nucleotides long. RefSeq lists it as uncharacterized. The transcript is spliced from 3 exons. The record is from RefSeq and is a predicted model, not a curated record. Lineage: Eukaryota; Metazoa; Arthropoda; Insecta; Diptera; Drosophilidae.